Molecule: transfer RNA, 144 nt
Filed under: Aureobasidium melanogenum CBS 110374
Lineage: Eukaryota; Fungi; Ascomycota; Dothideomycetes; Dothideales; Saccotheciaceae
Rfam family: tRNA
About the family: Transfer RNA (tRNA) molecules are approximately 80 nucleotides in length. Their secondary structure includes four short double-helical elements and three loops (D, anti-codon, and T loops).
Source: Rfam by way of RNAcentral
GCCGUGGUGGUGUAGUGGUAGCACACCUGAUCUGGUAACCUAGUCCCUACUCGCUUACCUAAGCCCUUAUACUCGCUUACCUAAAUACCUAAUACUCUCUUCUCGACGAUCAGGAGGUCGCGGGUUCGAUUCCUGCCUACGGCA